This 1573-nucleotide long non-coding RNA is filed under the name Vigna radiata. Its description in RNAcentral is "long non-coding RNA (VRAD_LNC004606)". Lineage: Eukaryota; Viridiplantae; Streptophyta; Magnoliopsida; Fabales; Fabaceae. The record is from RNAcentral.
UAAAACAGUUUCUUGCUCUGAGGGUGGGAUGAGGUUGGAACUGGAAUGAUGACUCAAUUACUUUAAAAUAAAAUAUUCAUGUUAUCUUUGAUUAUACUCAACUUAGAUACCGCUUCUUUCUCCACUACAUGGAAAAGCUUAAACGUGUGCUCUGCAAAGUCACAGGGCGGCACUGCAUCUGCAAUAGAAAGUAAUAAAGAGGGUUAGUGUAUCUGCAACUUUCUACACCUUUAAUAUGACCCUUUCUCACCGUCUAUAUUCACUUUACACACACACACACAUAUAUAUAAAUAAAUAUGAAAGUUUAUCAGGUUAGUGAUAAGAGAAUAGAGGAGUACAUUUCUAUCUUAUAUUCUAAUGAAUGGUUAAAAUUAAAAUUAAUUUAGACCAUUUUUAUAAUCCUAGGAGAGUGGAAGAAAUGAAAUUUCUAUAGCAAAAUAUUAUGUAUGUAACCAAUGUCAUGUAAAAGAACUUGGUUGAUUGUGGUUGCUUCCUUGUACUUUUACACAUUUCUUUUCUGAUACUAAUGGAACUGAUAGGAGAAAUAGUGUAAACAAUCUCAUCUAGGAAAAAGGACUUGAGUAUUGUUGCGGUUUUUUCCUUACUUUUUCAUGAUGGAAUCAAGAGAGUCCUAUAAAUGGUUGUUCAUCACUCACAUAAGAAACUCCCCAUUCCACAAUUCCCACCUCUCUAAAGAUUCUGCUUCCAAAGUCUCCCCUACAAUCCCUCAACUUUAUAUAACAUCAUCAUUGCGCUCUCUCCUAAUGCUAUCAUCAUUCAAACAGGAAUAAGCAACAAAAUGAGUCACAGUGGCUACAUCAAUGAAAAAACAGGCUUGUCCUUGAGACAGAAUUCCAGCAGGAAAUCAACCAGAAAUGGACAAGUGAAGAGUUGCAUGUUCAGGAUUCCUUGGCAGUCUGAGACCUCUCCCGUUGAACUUGUGAAGGAUCUUGCAGAAAGAGUAACUAAUGCUCUACGCUUGAUGUCUUCAAGGAGAUCUUUACACCGAGGCUCUUCUUCCCUAACAAGAUCAAAAUCAGCAGGCUCCUCUGUUGAUUUUCAUAGAACUGCUGCUGUUGAGGAUUGCAUUGAGUUCAUCCACUCUUCUUUUUCAAGAUCAAACUCCUCAACCACAGCACCCCGCCAAGAUUCUAUACAAGCUCCUUGAUUAUAGACAGUUACAAUCAUGUGCUUGAUACCAUGUUUAAGUGUAUAUCUUCCUUUCUUCUCUCACCUCAUAAUGAUGGGAAUUAAGCCAUCCUUUUAUGCUUCUGUACAAACAGAAUCUGUGUAUAUUCAUUCUUCUGAUAAAUUUCUUACAAGGUGUUUUAAGUUUCAAUGAAACAAAUGCAAUAAUCUACGUUUUUCUAAGAAAUAUUAUGUGAAAUUAUUGGUGGGAUUUUAUGUUUCACCAAGCACACGCUGAAAACAAUAUGAAAAGGGUUAGAAGAAUAUGAGACGAAGAUGUAAAAUCCUCGCUCUAUAUCUCUACUACGUUGGUUUGUUCAUCCUUGUAUGGAUCUUUUGCAUAGCAUCAUUACUCAUUCUCGUUGGAGUAUGAAAUAUAUAAGCC